RNAcentral lists this ribosomal RNA (424 nucleotides) under Planomicrobium sp. RNAcentral describes it as "bacterial SSU rRNA". It matches the Rfam family "Bacterial small subunit ribosomal RNA", at positions 60 to 474 of the family's 1533-position model. The record is from RNAcentral. Lineage: Bacteria; Bacillati; Bacillota; Bacilli; Caryophanales; Caryophanaceae.
AGUCGAGCGGAACCUUUGGAGCUUGCUCCAUUGGUUUAGCGGCGGACGGGUGAGUAACACGUGGGCAACCUGCCCUGCAGAUCGGGAUAACUCCGGGAAACCGGUGCUAAUACCGAAUAGUUUUUUGCCCCUCCUGGGGCGAAACGGAAAGACGGUUUCGGCUGUCACUGCAGGAUGGGCCCGCGGCGCAUUAGCUAGUUGGUGGGGUAAUGGCCCACCAAGGCGACGAUGCGUAGCCGACCUGAGAGGGUGAUCGGCCACACUGGGACUGAGACACGGCCCAGACUCCUACGGGAGGCAGCAGUAGGGAAUCUUCCGCAAUGGACGCAAGUCUGACGGAGCAACGCCGCGUGAGUGACGAAGGUUUUCGGAUCGUAAAACUCUGUUGUGAGGGAAGAACAAGUACCAAGUAACUACUGGUACC